This 419-nucleotide ribosomal RNA is filed under the name uncultured bacterium. RNAcentral describes it as "partial 16S ribosomal RNA". It matches the Rfam family "Bacterial small subunit ribosomal RNA", at positions 360 to 772 of the family's 1533-position model. The record is from RNAcentral.
AAUUUUGGACAAUGGGGGCAACCCUGAUCCAGCCAUGCCGCGUGUGUGAAGAAGGUCUUCGGAUUGUAAAGCACUUUAAGGUGGGAGGAAGGGCUUUAGGUUAAUACCCUGAAGUUUUGACGUUACCAACAGAAUAAGCACCGGCUAACUCUGUGCCAGCCGCCUCGGUGAUACAGAGGGUGCAAGCGUUAUUCGGAAUUACUGGGCGGAAAGCGGGGGUAGGUGGUCAAGUAAGUUGGUGGGGAAAUCCCGGGGCUAAACCUGGGAAUUGUUUUCAUAACUCUGGGACUAGAGAAGGGAAGAGGGAGGUGGAAUUUCCGGUGUAGCGGGGAAAGGCGUAGAUAUAGGAAGGACACCAGUGGCGAAGGCGACUACCUGGACUGAUACUGACACUGAGGUGCGAAAGCGUGGGGAGCAAA